RNAcentral lists this ribosomal RNA (490 nucleotides) under uncultured bacterium. RNAcentral's name for it is "partial 16S ribosomal RNA". It matches the Rfam family "Bacterial small subunit ribosomal RNA", at positions 29 to 507 of the family's 1533-position model. The record is from RNAcentral.
AAUGAACGCUGGCGGCAUGCCUUACACAUGCAAGUCGAACGGCAGCAUGACCUAGCUUGCUAGGUUGAUGGCGAGUGGCGAACGGGUGAGUAAUGCAUCGGAACGUGCCUUUUAGUGGGGGAUAACGUGGCGAAAGUUACGCUAAUACCGCAUAUUCUCUGAGGAGGAAAGCCGGGGGCCUUCGGGCCUUGCGCUAGAAGAGCGGCCGAUGUCGGAUUAGCUAGUUGGUGAGGUAAAGGCUCACCAAGGCAACGAUCCGUAGCGGGUCUGAGAGGAUGAUCCGCCACACUGGGACUGAGACACGGCCCAGACUCCUACGGGAGGCAGCAGUGGGGAAUUUUGGACAAUGGGCGCAAGCCUGAUCCAGCCAUGCCGCGUGAGUGAAGAAGGCCUUCGGGUUGUAAAGCUCUUUCGGCUGGGAAGAAAUCGCACUCUCUAAUACAGGGUGUGGAUGACGGUACCAGCAUAAGAAGCACCGGCUAACUACGUG